Molecule: ribosomal RNA, 197 nt
Filed under: Symbiodinium sp. Mp
Lineage: Eukaryota; Dinophyceae; Suessiales; Symbiodiniaceae
Description: partial Bacterial large subunit ribosomal RNA
Rfam family: Bacterial large subunit ribosomal RNA
Source: RNAcentral
AGUGUCUUAAGGGCAUUCGGUGGAUGCCUUGGCGACAAGAGGCGAUGAAAGACGUGAUACGCUGCGAUAAGCCAUGGGGAGCUGCGAAUAAGCUUUGAUCCGUGGAUUUCUGAAUGGGGCAACCCACUCCGUAUGGAGUACCCUUUAAUGGGAGCAAACCCGGGGAACUGAAACAUCUAAGUACCCGGAGGAAAGGA